UCAGUCGACUCCUACGGGGAGGCAGCAGUGGGGGAAUAUUGCACAAUGGGCGCAAGCCUGAUGUAGCCAUGCCGCGUGUGUGAAGAAGGCCUUCGGGUUGUAAAGCACUUUCAGUCGUGAGGAAGGUAGUGUAGUUAAUAGCUGCAUUAUUUGACGUUAGCGACAGAAGAAGCACCGGCUAACUCCGUGCCAGCAGCCGCGGUAAUACGGAGGGGUGCGAGCGUUAAUCGGAAUUACUGGGCGUAAAGCGCAUGCAGGUGGUUUGUUAAGUCAGAUGUGAAAGACCCGGGGCUCAACCUCGGAAUAGCAUUUGAAACUGGCAGACUAGAGUACUGUAGAGGGGGGGUAGGAAUUUCAGGUGUAGCGGUGAAAUGCGUAGAGAUCUGAAGGAAUACCGGUGGCGAAGGCGGCCCCCCUCGGACAGAUACUGACACUCAGAUGCGAAAGCGUGGGGAGCAAACAGGAUUAGAUACCCCUGGUAG
Molecule: ribosomal RNA, 482 nt
Filed under: uncultured bacterium
Lineage: Bacteria
Description: bacterial SSU rRNA
Rfam family: Bacterial small subunit ribosomal RNA
Source: RNAcentral